RNAcentral lists this ribosomal RNA (497 nucleotides) under uncultured bacterium. Its description in RNAcentral is "partial 16S ribosomal RNA". It matches the Rfam family "Bacterial small subunit ribosomal RNA", at positions 28 to 507 of the family's 1533-position model. The record is from RNAcentral.
GAUGGACGCUGGCGGCGUGCCUAAUACAUGCAAGUCGAGCGAACGGACGAGAAGCUUGCUUCUCUGAUGUUAGCGGCGGACGGGUGAGUAACACGUGGAUAACCUACCUAUAAGACUGGGAUAACUUCGGGAAACCGGAGCUAAUACCGGAUAAUAUUUUGAACCGCAUGGUUCAAAAGUGAAAGACGGUCUUGCUGUCACUUAUAGAUGGAUCCGCGCUGCAUUAGCUAGUUGGUAAGGUAACGGCUUACCAAGGCAACGAUGCAUAGCCGACCUGAGAGGGUGAUCGGCCACACUGGAACUGAGACACGGUCCAGACUCCUACGGGAGGCAGCAGUAGGGAAUCUUCCGCAAUGGGCGAAAGCCUGACGGAGCAACGCCGCGUGAGUGAUGAAGGUCUUCGGAUCGUAAAACUCUGUUAUUAGGGAAGAACAUAUGUGUAAGUAACUGUGCACAUCUUGGCGGUACCUAAUCAGAAAGCCACGGCUAACUACGUG